Molecule: ribosomal RNA, 496 nt
Filed under: uncultured bacterium
Lineage: Bacteria
Description: partial 16S ribosomal RNA
Rfam family: Bacterial small subunit ribosomal RNA
Source: RNAcentral
GAUGAACGCUGGCGGCGUGCCUAAUACAUGCAAGUCGAGCGAACGGACGAGAAGCUUGCUUCUCUGAUGUUAGCGGCGGACGGGUGAGUAACACGUGGAUAACCUACCUAUAAGACUGGGAUAACUUCGGGAAACCGGAGCUAAUACCGGAUAAUAUUUUGAACCGCAUGGUUCAAAAGUGAAAGACGGUCUUGCUGUCACUUAUAGAUGGAUCCGCGCUGCAUUAGCUAGUUGGUAAGGUAACGGCUUACCAAGGCAACGAUGCAUAGCCGACCUGAGAGGUGGAUCGGCCACACUGGAACUGAGACACGGUCCAGACUCCUACGGGAGGCAGCAGUAGGGAAUCUUCCGCAAUGGGCGAAAGCCUGACGGAGCAACGCCGCGUGAGUGAUGAAGGUCCUCGGAUCGUAAACUCUGUUAUUAGGGAAGAACAUAUGUGUAAGUAACUGUGCACAUCUUGACGGUACCUAAUCAGAAAGCCACGGCUAACUACGUG